GGAGGUGUUAGCUUAUCCAUAGCCAUUUGACACACAAUUGGUUUAUAGAUAGAGCACUAAAAGUUGUGUUUAGAGGUCCAACUUGCAUUUCAUAUAGAGUUAUACAUGCACAGAUAGAGUUAAAAUAAGAAUGACCACUAAUAGUAUUUUAAUAUCUUGAAGCUAUAAUAACUGAAUCAUUGAAAGCUCAAAUAAGAAAACAGAUAUAUCUUAAAAUAAAGCAUCUAAUGCGAUAAGCAGGUCGGAAUCAAGUUGCUAUCGGGAGGUGCUUAAGGGUUUCCCGACGUGCUAGCUUGAGGUGCUUACUAAAACCGACGUGCUUGCUUAAAUGAAAUGAACUUCUAAAUGUUAAAAAU
This 356-nucleotide long non-coding RNA is filed under the name Manihot esculenta (cassava). RNAcentral's name for it is "long non-coding RNA (MESC_LNC005569)". Lineage: Eukaryota; Viridiplantae; Streptophyta; Magnoliopsida; Malpighiales; Euphorbiaceae. The record is from RNAcentral.